Molecule: ribosomal RNA, 894 nt
Filed under: Saccharomycopsis sp.
Lineage: Eukaryota; Fungi; Ascomycota; Saccharomycetes; Ascoideales; Saccharomycopsidaceae
Description: partial large subunit ribosomal RNA
Rfam family: Eukaryotic large subunit ribosomal RNA
Source: RNAcentral
AUAUCAAUAAGCGGAGGAAAAGAAACCAACAGGGAUUGCCUUAGUAACGGCGAGUGAAGCGGCAAAAGCUCAAAUUUGAAAUCUGGCACUUUCAGUGUCCGAGUUGUAAUUUGAAGAAAGUUUUCUUGAGUAGUCCUUUAUCUAUGUUUCUUGGAACAGGACGUCAUAGAGGGUGAGAACCCCGUAUGAUUUUGGAUACUAUUCUUUGUAGAAUUCUUUCGAAGAGUCGAGUUGUUUGGGAAUGCAGCUCUAAGUGGGUGGUAAAUUCCAUCUAAAGCUAAAUAUUGGCGAGAGACCGAUAGCGAACAAGUACAGUGAUGGAAAGAUGAAAAGAACUCUGAAGAGAGAGUGAAAAAGUACGUGAAAUUGCUAAAAGGGAAGGGUUUGAGGUCAGACAUGGUGUUUAAUGAUUAUCUUCCUUUCUAGGUUGUGCACUCGUUUUUCACUGGGCCAAUGUCAGUUUUGGAGAAAAAGUACCCUUUGGAAUGUGGCUUCUUCGGAAGUGUUAUAGCCUUUGGACGAUUUUUUUCUGAGAUUGAGGACUGCGCAUUUUGCUAGGAUAUUGGCGUAAUGACCUUAAACCGCCCGUCUUGAAACAUGGACCAAGGAGUCUAACGUCUAUGCGAGUGUUUGGGUGUUAAACCCGUACGCGUAAUGAAAGUGAACGUAGAUUGGGGCCUUCGGGUGCACAAUCGACCGAUCCUGAAGUUUUCUGAUGGAUUUGAGUAAGAGCAUAGCUGUUGGGACCCGAAAGAUGGUGAACUAUGCCUGAAUAGGGUAAAGCCAGAGGAAACUCUGGUGGAAGCUCGUAGCGGUUCUGACGUGCAAAUCGAUCGUCGAAUUUGGGUAUAGGGGCGAAAGACUAAUCGAACCAUCUAGUAGCUGGUUCCUGCC